UCUGAAGAAGGGUUGUUGCCUGGUUGAUUGUGUGAUGGCGGUGAUGGGAGGUGCGUGCUGACAGAGUGCUCAUUUAGGGAGUCACUGGUUGAGGAGUGCAAGGUCAGAGGGAAAACCAGAAAGUGCCAACCGGGCAGACACAGGUCUGAUAAGGAUGAGAGUGUGCGUGCAAACAAGACCGACUUCAAGCCCUAACAAAAUUGUUAUCUGCCCCGUCUACGGCUUUGUUCGAACAGCGACUGUGAGGCAAACCUAAGAGCCGAACCUAAUUACAAGUCGUGCAAAUCAGAAGACACCUUCAAAGACGGAGUCUGAACGACUAGAAUCUGCAGAAUGUGUAUGCUGGCGACAACGGCAGCAGGUCAGCUACCUUCCCUCUCAUCAAUGAUGGGGUGGAGGCAUUACGUGGUACACCAAAAAGGGGGGGGAGAACAGUCAACCUGCGGUCAGCCUCAAGAGGUAUCUGACCUCAGACGUCCGAAGGUCAAGACAAAGAGCUCCUGAGGACAGGAGAUGAGAUGCUGUAAGAUGUGACUUCCUGGUGGGAAAGAUAGGAGUCAAACCUUGAACUGAGACUGAACUCUUGAGUUGAACCAUGACCCCAUAAAUCACAAUUUAAGUAAAUGUACCAGAAUAAAGCAUGAUGA
Long non-coding RNA from Gasterosteus aculeatus aculeatus (three-spined stickleback), 647 nucleotides. NCBI's taxonomy places the organism in Eukaryota, Metazoa, Chordata, Actinopteri, Perciformes, Gasterosteidae. The record is from Ensembl.